AUUAAAAUUUAAAUAUGUAAUCUUUUUAUAACACGCGCAUUUUUAUAAUAUCUGAUUGUUACUUAACAUAAAAUUGUAUUCGCAUUACUUUCUGUGAUAAUAAUGUUUAUAUUUAUAAUGAUUGAAUAACGAUUUGAAUUAUUAGCUUUAUGAUGAUUAUAUCACAUUCAAUCGGAAAAUAAUUAUUGUCACAUUUUAUUGUGAAAAGUUUAAGAUUUUAAUCAUUGUUAGCUAAGCAUUCUUUUAGAGAUCCUUAUAUACUACUUUCUUGUGUACAACUUGCAUAAAAUGAAUAAUAAUUUAGAAGAAUUGAGAGACUGAUUAUUGAAAUAAACACUGUAUGUAUAUAAAAUACGAGUAUACUCAAUUUUUUCUUCUGCAUAAAUAUAAGAUAUUCUGUAUAAAGAUAAUGCGAUAGUAAAAAAACUUACAAUAUAAAAUAAAAAUAUACACAAGAUUAUCAACUAUACUAAUUUUCUACGUUCCUACUAAAAUUCCUGAAAUUCCUUCCAACAAAGGACCAAAAUUGCGAAUUUGAUGUAUAUAUUAAUUAACCAAUUUUUUUAUCUCUAGAAUCUUCGAGAGAAUUUAAUUCAUAUAACUUAUAUUAAUAAAAAUCUAAUCCAGACAUUAAGCAAGACAUUAAAGAACUGCUACGGCACGAGGAAGAAUUAAGGAAAAAUAUUAAUCUGAUCUAACUGAGGGUAUGUAACAUGCUAAGAACACUUGCUAAUAUCGCGCUUUCUUUUCAGGUAACGACGACAGGUCUCACAGGCCUCAAGAUUACCAUAGGCGAUAUCGCGGCAAGUACACCUGCGACGCGUGCGGUAAGGAGUACACAUGGAAACCAUCCCUGACGAGGCAUAAACGCGAGGAUUGCGGUAAGGAGCCGCAGUACCCGUGUCCAGUGUGCAAUGCGAAGCUCCGGCGCAACCGUCAGCUCAAGCUACACUUGAUUUACGUUCACAACUGGUUCAACAAACCAAUGCAUGCAUAAAGCGGAUAAUAAAAAAUAACACCAAGCGAAAGAAGUUUCAUAAUGAUAGACGAUACAGUAAAUAUACUUGCAACAUAUGUGAUAGAUAGUACAAGUGGAAAUAUUUUCUGACAAAGCACAAACGCGAAAAAAUGCGGUAAGAAACUGCAGUUUGUAUAUGACAAGAGAUUCAGACACAUGAAUCGUCUAAAAGUAUAUAGCACUUCGAAAAUAUUCUUUGUAAAAAGGAAAACAAUUUCUUUUAAUUCAAUAAUUAACUUUAUGAAUUUACUCAUGUUUGGUGUGUUAAUCCGAAGUUUCGGUUAUAGCCAUCAAUACAAGCGAUAUUUUAUAAAAGGGUUAAUCCUUAAGCUAAAAUACAUUCUAAUAGUGCAAUAAACUAAGUGCAAAAAAUACAAUUAAACAGCAAAGAAACCGUAUGCUGUAUUUUUAUUUUUGUUUACUUUAUUUGAAUAUCAGAUUAUUAAAUUAUUAUAAAAUCUAUCGUUUCUCUAUGAUUGUUAUGUUUAAAAUAAUACAUUUUAAUAUUAAAAUAAAACAAAUUUUGUGUUUUUUUUGGGUUUGUUUUAUUUCAUAUUUUUGUUUUUGUAUUACUAUCUAUGUAUAUCUAUGUAUAUCUACGUAUAUCUAUGUAUAUCAAUUUUAAUUAUUAUUCGAAAAAGUAUUUCCAAUUAUUUUUAUUAAUUAUAUCCAAAAAUUAAUAUUAUUUGGAUAAAAUGAUGGUGACGGGUUAAGAAUUUUUUUUACUUUUGAUUAAUUAUUAGAAAGAUUUUUAAUGAGAUUUAUUGACUCAGACUAAAUAUCUGUACUUUUAAACAUUUAUGCAAAAGCUCUGAUUACUAUGUUCUGAUUACUAUGCAGUUUAUAUUAUGUAUUCUAAAUUAUGUAUUUUAAAUUUACUUAAAAUCUUAUAAAAAUUUAUUCACUCUGCAGUCUAAUUGCCUCAAAGAAAUUAUUAGAUAUGUUGCAUUGAUUAUCCUGUUAACUUUUUUUAGGUAGGUCUGAAAGCUCUAGAUUUAACAUAAUAUCGCCAGUUUGCCAUGAUUGUGGGAAAAAUUUUUUAUGGAGACCACAUCUAGAACAACAUAUAGAAAAAAGCGGAUGUGGAAUUGAACGAAAGAAUAAAAUGCAUUUAUUGCUAAAAUUCAAGAAGACUAUUAAGCUCAUGCAAUACAUCGAUAGAGUUCACACAAAAUUGCUCAAGACUAACAAGUCAUCAUGAUAUUCAAACUGUAAUUUUAUUAACCUUUUAAUGCUAAGAUAUCUUGAGUUUUUGAGAUUAAUAUUAUGAUGCUCUAUUUAAUUUUAUGUUAAAAGAUGUAGAUUGUUUUGAAAAUAAAAAAUAGAAUGGUACCUACUUUAAGUUAUUUAAUAAAGACAGCAUUUAAAAAUAAAAUUACUGCAUGUGACGAAGCAUUGAAGGGUUAAUAAUACCUAUUGUUAUCUUUAUACACUUAUUACAAAAAAAUUAUAGAUCUGUUAAUAUAUAUUGUCAUAUAUCAUUAUCAUAUUGUCAUACAAAUUGUCACAAAUUUAGUUUUAAUUAACAUAUUAGCAUUAUUCUACACAAAGACAAACUAAUAUUUAAAAUAUUAUUAAUUUUUUACUCUUUUUUUUAAAUUUUAUAUAAUAAUAAAGAUAAAAAUUAAAUAACAGCAUAAUCAUCUAGCGGCAAGCAUAUUUUUCAAUAAUGCCAUAUUUAUUAAGCAUAUUUUCCGACUUUGUAUUCAUAGCGAUCUUUCAUAUUUUAUUUAUUUAUAUGAAAUUGAAGGAGAUAUGUGAAUGUUAUUUCUGAUUAAUUUAUACCCAUGAUGAACAAUAUCAAUAUAAGUCGAUGUUUCGAAAAUUUCAGCUAUAUGCAUAUAUCAAUAUAACAGAUUACAUGAUGUUGUAAUUAAUAUUACCAAAAUUUCAAUUAUAUAUGUGAAUAUUUAUUUACUGCCGGUACAAAAAGAAUUUUUAUAAUAUAAGGAUAAAAAAUAUGUACAUACACGGAUACAUUAAAUAUAAAAUCGAAUUUGAUAUUUCGCGAAUGACUAAAAAAUGGAUCAAAACUAUUUUAUCAAUACAUACUGAUUUUGCUCAAAUGAGAUUCUUUAGCAUGCACGCCAUCAAUAUUGAAAUCAACCAUUAAUUUGACAUGAAUAAAAUUAAAUUGUUGCGUAUAUGUUUCAGACUUACAAAGGUACUUGUCACCCUACCAAUGCAAUACGUGCGGCAAGUUAUACAAAUGGAGAGAAUCUCUGAGUCUGCACAAACGAAUGGAGUGCGGUGUCGAACCACGAUUUGCCUGCAACAUCUGCGGCAGAAAGUUCAAACACAAACACCAUCUCAUGAAACAUCACAAUUCAAUUCACAAAUAUGUUCAAUAAUAAAUAAAGUCAAUUAAUCUUUUUUUAUAUUUAAGAAUAGGUAACUUACAAUACAUAAUUAAUUUUAUUUAUAUAAAAAUAUACUUGUGAUUAUAUAUUUAUGAAAAAUAUAUUGAUUAAAAUUUAUAUUCGAGAACUAUCACGUCCUCUAUAUAUCUUAAAACGAUCUAGUCAAGAUUUUUUUAACAUUGUGUUAUAUAAAUCACACAUUAAUAAUUGAAAUUUUUUAGUUUUUAUUUCUCUCAAAAAUUUUUAUGAAGAUAUUUAUAAUAACUUCUUAGUGAUUGUUCUCGAAAAACACAAAGAUAAACAUAAAAGUUUCUAAUAAAACAAUGCAACCAAA
This 3712-nucleotide long non-coding RNA is filed under the name Monomorium pharaonis (pharaoh ant). Its description in RNAcentral is "uncharacterized LOC114255195". The record is from RNAcentral. Lineage: Eukaryota; Metazoa; Arthropoda; Insecta; Hymenoptera; Formicidae.